RNAcentral lists this long non-coding RNA (2112 nucleotides) under Olea europaea subsp. europaea. Lineage: Eukaryota; Viridiplantae; Streptophyta; Magnoliopsida; Lamiales; Oleaceae. The record is from RNAcentral.
ACACAUACCACCCAUGUUGAGCGUAGGGCACCGGGAGCGUACCACACACGCUACCAUUAGUCCCUAUAGUUCUUCCACUAUUUCGAGACCUUUCCUACCAUCUAUUUUGCCUUUAGAUACUCAGUCUACAUAGAAUCAAGGUAAGAAGACUUAUGUUACAGUAGGUUGGGGUUGACAAGCUAUUUUUCAGGUUGAUUGCAAUCUGAGGAAGACUUUUUGUUUUUGUGCUCUAGGCGCCUACCCACUGAUUCCACUUCUAAAAACUUUGUUACUAAGGCACUUUACAUGCACCUUGAUGUAACAGCUAUUACUAUUUCAAAGGAGGAGGAGGAGGCUAUUCUUUCUAAACCAUUCAAGUUCACACUUGUUCGCGAAUUCUCAAACUGCAAGUCCUCUAUGAUUAAGGUAUAAGAAAAUUUCAAGAAGUUUGGUUUUUUGGGACCUCGGGCUUAAGUAGGCACAGCCAGUUUAGGGUGUCUGUAAAGGUCAAUUUGGAUUAUAAACUUCUGAAUAGGGUUUGGAUAGAACGGGAUAAGAAUAAUUGUUUCAAGCAGAAAGUUAUUUAUGAGAAGAAGCCAAUGUUUUGUUCUAAGUGCGAUACAUGGGGCACUUAAGUGAUCAGUAGUUUGAUUGCAAGGACUCCUACUCCUAUUGUUAUCGACACUCCUCUCUACGUCCUACUGGUUGGGCAUGUAAGGGUAAUGGUAAGGAGGUGGUUGUGAAGUCUCCUGAGCACUAUGUACCAAUUUAUGGUUCUACUACUAGACAGCAUAUGGCUAGCUUCUCUGUCGUACACAUUGUGAUAUCCACUCCACUAGCGGUUCACAAAUUACUAUCAUUAUUAAGUUAUUAUUGCUCUGUCAAUUACUGUUGUUCUGUUUGUUAUUACCGAAAACCUGUUGUUAUUUAUUCAAUUGUUGGUUUUACUCCACGAUCUAUAUUUAGUAUGUGCUGUUACAGUUGCUCCCACAAUUGCUCAAGUUGUAUAUUUUUCGGUGGUCAUAAUUCAAUACUUAACUCCUUAGUUACAUGCCCUUUCUUGUAUCUCCAGAUUGGGCAGCCUCUAGAUUCUGAUGAGAUGUUAGUAACAGCAGACUCUUCCUUAAGACCUCGCUUCGUUUUGGUCCCAACUCUGGCUCCCAGCCUACAUCUCAGUUUCCAUGUGAAUGUGAAGGCAAAUGUGCCGUCUGAUAAAGAAAUCACUGCUUUCCUUAGGGUCAGUUUGACAUAGAUCUUUUGAUGACUUAAUUAGAAUGGAACAGUGAGUUGAGGAUAAUAGCUUUGUACCUAUUUUGCAUAAGAGUCCAAAGAUGACAGAUAUUCCUUCGCCGACUAAGAGAGCAAUUAGGAAUACCAGUCAUUCCCCACCUUUUUUUAUGAGUGUUCUUAUUUGGAAUGUUAGCUAGUACAUUGAUUUUGUAGUAGUUUCUUUUGCAGCAGAACUUUGACUUUAUUCGAUGAUCUCCUUUGAUGUAGAGGUUGAGAAUAUGUCAAAUAAGAUUUGAUAUUUCUAGAAUAUGGGGACAAUUAUUUCUAUCAUUGGUUAUCAUCCUCAGUUCCUAUAUGCUAAAAUUAAGGAUCCUAGAUUUGCUAGACCAAUAUACAUAUCUUUCGUUUAAGCUUCUUGCUCUAUUGUCAUAGAAGUGAGGGAGAUAUGAAUGUUAUUGCACAUCAUGGUGAAUGCAUAUGAGGAAAUAAAGGGAUAGAGGUACUUCAAACUUCUAUGAUAUGAUGAUGGACGGUGUUUUGACUGAUGCCGCGUUUUCAAGGAUUUAGUACACUUGGAGCAAUUACAGGGUAUGGACACGUUUGGAUAAAAUGUUGAUUAAUUCUAUAGAGAUCUUUCAUAAAUAACUUACGAAUAGGCAUUUGAAUCAUAGUUAAAUAUGAUCAUUCACCUUUACAAUAUGAUUCUGUGCCAUUACCUCCGCUUUCUCAACAUGUUGACCUAGCACAUUAUUUUUUAACCUUUGUCUCUUAGAAGUGGUUAUUCCUAACUCAUCAUAUAGGAACUAUUGUUUUUGUGGGAGAUAUUAUUUUGGCUAAAAUAGGGACUACGUUGGUUAAAUCAACAUGUAUUUGGUAAUAUAUUUCAAUGGAUUAAGGAUGUUG